CGGCGAAGUGAAGCGGCAACAGCUCAAAUUUGAAAUCUGGCUCCUUCGGGGCCCGAGUUGUAAUUUGUAGAAGAUGCUUCGGGUGUGGCCCGGUCUAAGUUCCUUGGAACAGGACGUCACAGAGGGUGAGAAUCCCGUCUGACCGGUCGCCUAUGCUCAUGUGAAGCUCUUUCGACGAGUCGAGUUGUUUGGGAAUGCAGCUCUAAAUGGGUGGUAAAUUUCAUCUAAAGCUAAAUAUUGGCCAGAGACCGAUAGCGCACAAGUAGAGUGAUCGAAAGAUGAAAAGCACUUUGGAAAGAGAGUUAAACAGUACGUGAAAUUGUUGAAAGGGAAGCGCUUGCAACCAGACUUGCGCGUCGUUGAUCAUCCGGUGUUCUCACCGGUGCGCUCAGCGACGUUCAGGCCAGCAUCAGUUCCGGUGGUUGGAUAAAGGCCCGGGGAAUGUGGCUCUCUUCGGGGAGUGUUAUAGCCCCGGGUGCAAUGCAGCCUACCGAGACUGAGGACCGCGCUUCGGCUAGGAUGCUGGCGUAAUGGUUGUAAGCGAC
This 545-nucleotide ribosomal RNA is filed under the name fungal endophyte. RNAcentral describes it as "eukaryotic LSU rRNA". It matches the Rfam family "Eukaryotic large subunit ribosomal RNA", at positions 87 to 648 of the family's 3401-position model. Lineage: Eukaryota; Fungi. The record is from RNAcentral.